AGUGGCGGACGGGUGAGUAACGCGUGAGAAUCUGCCUUGGGGUCGGGGACAACCACUGGAAACGGUGGCUAAUACCGGAUAAGCCGAUUGGUGAAAGAUUUAUUGCCCGAAGAGGAGCUCGCGUCUGAUUAGCUAGUUGGUGAGGUAAGAGCUCACCAAGGCAGCGAUCAGUAGCUGGUCUUAGAGGACGAUCAGCCACACUGGGACUGAGACACGGCCCAGACUCCUACGGGAGGCAGCAGUGGGGAAUUUUCCGCAAUGGGCGAAAGCCUGACGGAGCAAGACCGCGUGAGGGAGGAAGGCUCUUGGGUUGUAAACCUCUUUUCUCAGGGAAGAAGCUCUGACGGUACCUGAGGAAUCAGCCUCGGCUAACUCCGUGCCAGCAGCCGCGGUAAUACGGAGGAGGCAAGCGUUAUCCGGAAUUAUUGGGCGUAAAGCGUCCGCAGGUGGCGAUUCAAGUCUGCUGUCAAAGCACGGGGCUUAACUCCGUAAAGGCAGUGGAAACUGAAUAGCUAGAGUGCCGUAGGGGUAGAGGGAAUUCCCGGUGUAGCGGUGAAAUGCGUAGAGAUCGGGAAGAACAUCGGUGGCGAAAGCGCUCUACUGGACGGCAACUGACACUCAGGGACGAAAGCUAGGGGAGCGAAUGGGAUUAGAUACCCC
This 660-nucleotide ribosomal RNA is filed under the name uncultured bacterium. RNAcentral describes it as "bacterial SSU rRNA". It matches the Rfam family "Bacterial small subunit ribosomal RNA", at positions 94 to 788 of the family's 1533-position model. The record is from RNAcentral.